CUCUCUCUCUCUCUCAUAAUGCACUGCCAAGGCUAAAGACCCAGCUUAUUUCACACUCCAACUAUUAUCCACGCACGUAUAGUUCUUCGAGACACGACGGAGACGCAACAGACUUUCCAGUCAGCAGACACUUCAACCAGAUUUUCCUCGAGCUGGACUUCACCCGCUGUCUACACCGACCAACCAGUGCUCUUUUAUGAAAUUUCACAGAUCAAGUUACGAUGUCCACUCAAUGUCGACCAAAAGUAACAACCUGUGCACCCAAAGGCAACAUUUCAUCAUUUUACAUGAUGGCCAAAGGCAAAGUACAAUCCAGAUUGGCAAAGAAAACAUAAA
This is a long non-coding RNA of Aplysia californica (California sea hare), 336 nucleotides long. RefSeq lists it as uncharacterized. The record is from RefSeq and is a predicted model, not a curated record. Lineage: Eukaryota; Metazoa; Mollusca; Gastropoda; Aplysiida; Aplysiidae. The transcript has 3 exons.